AUAUAAGUACAUGUUUGGUCUAAAG
RNAcentral lists this non-coding RNA (25 nucleotides) under Cricetulus griseus (Chinese hamster). Lineage: Eukaryota; Metazoa; Chordata; Mammalia; Rodentia; Cricetidae. The record is from RNAcentral.